UCUCCUAAACCCAACCUUGGAUCUCCUCCUACGAGUAGCUUCCAGGUGUCUACAGGGAGCCCGGGGUCAUGCUGGCAUCACUCAUUCUCCACGCAUCAGAUGAUCCUGCGGCCCCUCAGUGCCAGGCCCCACUGGCCCUCCGGGCACAUCAGUGACUUUGAUGUGGUCCCCCCCAUGCUGCCAGUCUGAUGGUGGAGACAGAACAGCAGUCCUGGAUGGUCUCCAUGUUGUCACAUGGAAAAUGGAACUUUCCACCUCCUCGGGAUGUUAAGCUCAGCACAGUGCCUGUACAGGUGGAGGCAGUGCCCAGAGCUGUGGCAGCCACCUUGCAGCCGUGAAGCACCAGCGAGAAUGACAGUCAAGAGAACCAUGGAGAUGCCAGCCCCUGGACCCACAGCAACAGCACCUGCUUCCA
Molecule: long non-coding RNA, 415 nt
Organism: Pongo pygmaeus (Bornean orangutan)
Lineage: Eukaryota; Metazoa; Chordata; Mammalia; Primates; Hominidae
Exons: 3
Source: RefSeq, a predicted model, not a curated record